Long non-coding RNA from Physeter macrocephalus (sperm whale), 591 nucleotides. RefSeq lists it as uncharacterized. The transcript has 3 exons. The record is from RefSeq and is a predicted model, not a curated record. Lineage: Eukaryota; Metazoa; Chordata; Mammalia; Artiodactyla; Physeteridae.
GAGCUGUGGCUGGCCUCCCCUGGGACAAGGUGGCGACAAGCAUCAGAUGCUGAAGUCUUUACGACCUCUUGCCUGCAGCAAUGACCAUAGCCCUUCCCUGUGGGCUCCGGACCUUGGGGUCUCCCCUCCCAACCGUGCUCCACACUACGCCUUGGCAGCCCAGGAGGACCAGAGGGGACCUGCUGCAGGAGAUGCAGGUAUAAUGCCCUCAGACUCUGCCCAGCAGCCAACCCAAGACCACAUGCUCCCCCAAGGCUUCAGAAAGUCCCUGAGCCCCCGAGGGGAGAAAGACAGAAUCCUGGCUUUCUGGACAUUCUGGGCCCCUGCCCCAUGAUUGGCCUCUGCUGUCACUUUCACACCCUCACCAGCUUUAUCUUCCUAUAAGAAGGCCCCAGGCUGGACUGAUGUUCUUCAGAGGGACAGAGAUGAAGUGUCCUGACCGCUGUUCUCAGCUCAGCCAAAUCCUCCUCAAGCCCUGCCCCUUUGUGAAGCCUUUCCUUCCCUUUCCAGCCUGAAAAUGAUCUCAACCUGUUCUGAAGUCAAAGCGUUCAUUGUCUGAACCAUUCCUUGGCACUUGGGGGUCUAGGACCA